Molecule: unclassified non-coding RNA, 1798 nt
Filed under: Hevea brasiliensis (rubber tree)
Lineage: Eukaryota; Viridiplantae; Streptophyta; Magnoliopsida; Malpighiales; Euphorbiaceae
Source: RNAcentral
GUGCCAUGAUGAGUGUGGAUGAGAAUUUAUUGUGUUCAUUCCAAAUAUUGAAACCUGUUGAUAAGAAGACAAAGUUUGGUUUUUGGAGCAUGGCUGCUUCUAGGCCUGGCCACGGUCCAACUAAAAUCGAGGUAUGUCUCAUUCCUUACUGCUCCAAAUAUAUAGAUUUUUAGAAGCUCUUCAAUUUUACUUGCCACAUAAAGUUACUUAGAGAAUUGGUUUUGCAUGAAACUUAGUCAUUGUCAUUUGUUAGUGUGGAUCUAAAUGGAGAGCACCAGUAUAAAAUAAAUGGGUCAAUUGCAUCCCUUCAGUCUGUGCAAUCACCCCACCCUUUUUUCACCUUUUUUUCCAUUUUUCCUUUUCUUUUUCUUCCCUUAAAAUUGAAGAACAAGGAUAGAAGGCUUCUAAUUAAAUAUAGCUUAGUGGCUUGCAGUUUGUAACAUGAAUAAAUUUUUUCUUGUCAUUGAAAUCAGCCCUGAGAGGUGAUGGGUACUGAAUCGAUUCUGAUAGUUUAUUUUCCAAAUAAUGCUUCUGUCUUGCUCAUCAUUCAUUCAUUCAUUCAUAUAUAUACUCUAGGUUAGAAGGUUAAAGUCUAGGAUGUCCAUGCCAGUUUCUAUAUAAAAGCUGAAACAUUAAGCACAGGAAACAUGUAAGUCAUUUAUCUAAUAUUGUCUGAGUAACAAGGUGCUUUACCACUGGUUACUUAUUUUUUCCCAUAAACAUCACCAAGAUUAAGAAAGCAGUCUUUUCCAUGCAUAUAAUCAUGUCAACAAAAUAUAAGCCAAUAUCCAUGUCAUACUCAGUUUGACACAUAAAUACAUGACGUAUGUAUUCGUGUAAGCAUCCUCAAACAUAGCUCAUUCUUUCUUAUGAAUUUUGGUCCUCAUUUCCUCCUGAAUUUCUCUGCCACUAAAAAUCUUCAGUUGGCAGUUCUGAUGCAUUGCUGUGUAUAGUUAAUACAUGAACUGCUUUCUUCAUACUGCAUUCUCUUAAUUCCUUUAUUUCCCUUCACAGCAUGUCAACAUCUGAUUCUUUCCAGUUCCCACCAUGCCACCACACUGUGUGAUGCAACUAAUUAUUGGUCCAGUUGCAUAUUUAGAUUCACCUUGAAAGAUUCCUUUCAUUGUUUUUUUUUUUUUUACUUUCCAUUCUUCUUUGCAAUGUUUCAUUCUGUUUUUCUUUUAGUUUGUGUUGGAUUUUUGGUAAGAACUCUAAAGUUGCUUUCCUACAUUGUGAUGUUCUCACUCUCCUAGUCCCUUGUGUCUUGAAUUGAAAUUCAAUGUAUAUAAAUGCAUUUUCUUUGUUUCAUCACUCCUAUGCUUUCUUUUUUUUUUUGGUUUACAAAGGAAGAGUGAAGGGGAGACUUCAUAAACUUGAGUUGGAGACGCACUUACUACCGGACUAAGCCUUCGGGUGUCACUCUUGACUUGUUUUUAAUUGCGUGCACAAGAUUUUCUUAAUAAUGUGUUCCAUUUUCCUUUUCUCAGUCGCUUUUAAAAGUGUAAGGAAUCUGAUCCCGUGGAGUGAUAUAUGAAGGAGCCAGCUGCCCUGGACAGUGACACGCAGAACAUUGCCAGUGUACCAAUCUAGGAAGAUCGUAGAUGGGCAACUUGGUUUAGGUAAAGAUAAUAUAGAGAAGUUCCUCCAUGAAAAUUUUAGGAGGCUGUAAUCUCUAUGGUUUGUUCAAUAUAGUUUGCCUGUUGCAACUCUGUUAUCAUCAUAUAAUAAUCAGAACAGAGUGAUUCAGUUCUCUGAUUCCCCUAAGCGCUGUCAUCAUCAUAUCAUAUGCAUAGUCUCG